GGGACCUUCGGGCCUUGCGCUAUCAGAUGAGCCUAGGUCGGAUUAGCUAGUUGGUGAGGUAAUGGCUCACCAAGGCUACGAUCCGUAACUGGUCUGAGAGGAUGAUCAGUCACACUGGAACUGAGACACGGUCCAGACUCCUACGGGAGGCAGCAGUGGGGAAUAUUGGACAAUGGGCGAAAGCCUGAUCCAGCCAGGCCGCGUGUGUGAAGAAGGUCUUCGGAUGUAAAGCAAAGGAAGUUGGGAGGAAGGGCA
This 255-nucleotide ribosomal RNA is filed under the name uncultured bacterium. RNAcentral describes it as "partial 16S ribosomal RNA". It matches the Rfam family "Bacterial small subunit ribosomal RNA", at positions 195 to 454 of the family's 1533-position model. The record is from RNAcentral.